ACGGAAGGCAGCAGUGGGGAAUAUUGGGCAAUGGGCGCAAGCCUGACCCAGCGACGCCGCGUGAGUGAAGAAGUAUUUCGGUAUGUAAAGCUCUAUCAGCAGGGAAGAUAAUGACGGUACCUGACUAAGAAGCUCCGGCUAAAUACGUGCCAGCAGCCGCGGUAAUACGUAUGGAGCAAGCGUUAUCCGGAUUUACUGGGUGUAAAGGGAGCGUAGACGGCAUAGCAAGUCUGAUGUGAAAUCCCCGGGCUCAACCCGGGAACUGCAUUGGAAACUGUUAAGCUAGAGUGCAGGAGAGGUAAGUGGAAUUCCUAGUGUAGCGGUGAAAUGCGUAGAUAUUAGGAGGAACACCAGUGGCGAAGGCGGCUUACUGGACUGUAACUGACGUUGAGGCUCGAAAGCGUGGGGAGCAAACAGGAUUAGAUACCCUGGUA
RNAcentral lists this ribosomal RNA (434 nucleotides) under uncultured Clostridium sp. RNAcentral's name for it is "partial 16S ribosomal RNA". It matches the Rfam family "Bacterial small subunit ribosomal RNA", at positions 341 to 792 of the family's 1533-position model. Lineage: Bacteria; Bacillati; Bacillota; Clostridia; Eubacteriales; Clostridiaceae. The record is from RNAcentral.